Molecule: ribosomal RNA, 482 nt
Filed under: uncultured bacterium
Lineage: Bacteria
Description: partial 16S ribosomal RNA
Rfam family: Bacterial small subunit ribosomal RNA
Source: RNAcentral
GAUGAACGCUGGCGGCGUGCCUAAUACAUGCAAGUCGAACGCUUCACUUCGGUGAAGAGUGGCGAACGGGGGAGUAAUACAUAAGUAACCUGGCAUCUACAGGGGGAUGUCUGAUGGAAACGUCAGCUAAGACCGCAUAUGUGUAGUGAUCGCAUGGACUCUAUAUGAGAAGUGCUACGGGACUGGUAUAUGAUGGACUUAUGGCGCAUUAGCUUGUUGGUAGGGUAACGGCCUACCAAGGCGACGAUGCGUAGCCGACCUGAGAGGGUGACCGGGCACACUGGGACUGAGAGACGGCCCAGACUCCUACGGGAGGCAGCAGUGGGGAAUAUUCGGCAAUGGGGGAAACCCUGACCGAGCAAAGCCGCGUGGAGGAAGAAGUAAUUCGUUAUGUAAAAUACUGUAAUAGAGGAAGAACGGUGGAUAUAGGAAAUCAUAUCCAAGUGACGGUACUAAAUAAGAAAGCCACGGCUAACUACGUG